GUACAACAGAACUCCUAAGUUGAAGAUGAAUGAAGGUCAUCUUCAGAUAAAUGUUUUCUAAAAUUUGCCAUAGAGGAUGGCUAUGAAAAAAACCACUAGGAGGACAACUGCAUGUUACAAGGUACCAAAGGUUAUAAUGUUAAAUUGUGUGCUUUUUUAUGUUUGUGGUAUUAUUCCUGAAGAACAGUACCAAAAAUGUUUAAUAACUGGCAUAAUGAUGACUCAAAUUACUUUUUGCCGUUUACCCAGCUGAGGGUGACUUUGAAGAAAUAAUUUCAAGACUGAGAUGCCAGUAACCCAUGUUAUGUGAAUUACUUAAAUAUAAUGCAGUUCUUAUUAAAAUAGGUGAAAUGUUCUUUUCAACAUACAGGUACCUGCAGGUGAAUGUUCAAGUCCUUAGCAUUAGUGUAGAAAUACUUCAUUGCCUCAAAGAUGUGGCAUACAGCAUUUCGGAAGGAAAAAUGAACUGGUCAAGAAGACAUGAAGCAAAUGAUGAAAAAUUAAUAAUUUUAUUUAACAUUGAUCAUCUCACAAUAAAUUCUGUAGAAAAAUACAAAUUCAAAUUAUUAAUUGCGGGACAAUAAAGUCUGUUAUCUUUAAAGUAUAUAAAGUCUUUAAAGAGCUUCAUUUUCAUAGUUUCUAGUCAGGCUUGUUUUUAACAUACCUUAGGGAUAAUGUAUUCUUGUCAAUAACUAGCUCCUCUGUGGAUAGUGAUUCUCUCUGAAGUGGCAGGUGGGAGGUAGCUGGGGAGACAUUUUUAGUACAUCCAGUUCUCAUACGCUUUCUUGCUUUAGGGGAUUUCUAGAGAGAUCCUAAUCACUAGAUACUAGAUAAUUGCAUACUAGGGUCUCCCCUUCAGAACCUGCCUUGAUAACUGGGAAACAAGCACAGUUGACUCAUUAACUACAAGGAGGCACAAACUCUCAUUGAAGUAAAAAAUCCAGGUAUAGCCUUACCAUCUGCCCUUUGUAUCCAAGGUUCCACAUCCUCUGAUUCAAUCAGCUGCAAAUUGUAUGCUGUAGUAUGUACUGGGAAAAAAAAAAAAAAAAAAACUCCUCCCUUUCUGUGGACCCAUGCAGUUCGAACUGGUGUUCAGAUUUUAACUAGUUUAGAUUUCCAAAAUUCCUUAAUAAAUUGCCCCUUACAAGUAAAGCUUUCACCUGUGACCUACAGAUUUUUUAAUUUUAUUCUUGGUUUGCUUUUACAUUUGUGAAGAAAAAAGUUCUAAUCCUGGUUCAGGUAAUAAUAUGCUAGAUUAAGAUGAGUAGUGACUGGACAGUCUGUUCAGGGGUUACAAACUUCAAAUUUAUAAGAGUUUGAAAACAACUGAAAUCCUACCCAGGUGAAGAUUUAAAUUUAGCUAAAUCUUAACUUUUCCCCUGUUGAGUCCCAUAGUACACAAAUUCUUCGCUUUUAUCGGGGUUAUAAUUUCAAUAUGGUAAGUCAAACAGUAUAAAGUGUAUAGCAGUAUCUCUAUGAUCACAUCCCAUCAGAAGCAACUUUUGAAAUCAUUCCACCCUCACUGUUCUCUUGUUUGAUCAACAGAAUCUGACACUUCACAAUUGUAAAAUGGAGGCCAUUUUAUGGAUCCCAGUUUGAUAAAAUGUGUUUUGCCUUCAUCCUACAGAGAACAGAAAGCAAAUCUGUAAGAAGCCACAAAAUAAAGUCUACAAUUUGUAAUACAUAAUUUUUUUAAAAAACAGAUUUGCCUUUUGAAAACAACAGUGUAUAUGGUCUCUGGCAUUAGUAGAUAUGCAAUAAAUACUGUUGAUGGCUAGGAAAUAAAAUAGUAAAUCAUCUGUCAAAGUCCUGUGUCGAGUGAGAGCUGUCUACCUUUAUGGUUAAGCUCCAUGAAGUACCAUUUUCUACAAAAACUGAGUAGUAUCUUGGUUAAUAAGGCGGCAAUUUUAUGACAUUAACCUUUUAGUGAGUAGAACUGUCUUAAAACUUUUAAAAGUGAAAACAGGGAUUUGGGGGUUUU
RNAcentral lists this long non-coding RNA (1981 nucleotides) under Sus scrofa (pig). Its description in RNAcentral is "lncRNA (ENSSSCG00005022229.1)". The stretch from base 206 to 294 matches the Rfam family "Small nucleolar RNA SNORD87". Lineage: Eukaryota; Metazoa; Chordata; Mammalia; Artiodactyla; Suidae. The record is from RNAcentral.